RNAcentral lists this unclassified non-coding RNA (2596 nucleotides) under Hevea brasiliensis (rubber tree). Lineage: Eukaryota; Viridiplantae; Streptophyta; Magnoliopsida; Malpighiales; Euphorbiaceae. The record is from RNAcentral.
UAUAUUAAAAAAAAAAAAGAAAAAUAACAAGGAUAAGUAUCCUAAUUUUUUUUAUUGGGUAAGUUAUUUCAGUGGUGCUUUGGGUACAUAGGUUUGAUCAGCAGACUUUAUUUUAUCCUGAAUUACUAAAAUUUAUUUUCAUUGUUACAUAUAACUGUUCUCUUUUGCAAGCUAAUUUAGUCUGCUUUUCUCUCCCUUUUCUAGUUAAUGAAACUGAAAAUAUGCCCAUUGCAAUCUACUUCAACUUUUAACAUUAUUUCUGAUUGAUGUACAUCUUUUCUUUCAUAUUUCAUAUAAUUCAGUAUACGAGAGUAAGGAUAUCUCAGCUGAUGAUAUUGAUGUUGACUUAGCAGGUAGGAUUUUCUUGUCCAUUCAGAGCUUUUAGAUUAAUCACCUUUUUUCUUGGAGGUGCACAUGUAUUUUGGAUGAUAUUUAUAAUAUUACUUCCAUGCUCUUUGCAAUGCUUACAUGGAAUAAUGAUUGGGAUUAAUGUUGGGAAUCUAAGUCUCACAUCGGGAAUAAACAAAAAUUAAAGGGUAAAUACAAGUAGUUCGAUUGCAACAUUGACUUGGCUAAUCAUUUUGAUAUGUAAAGUAACUCAAUCAUUUAUAUAAACUCUAAUUAAAAUGAAUUAAUGCAUAAUCUGAUCAGCACUCUAUCCGAAUUUAACAAUUAAACUAUUGAUAACAUUUAACUUUUGAUAUGGGGCCUUAUAAAUUGUUUGAUUUUUUCCAUUUAAACAUUCAUCUAAAAUGUAUUACUUGUUAUGCUUGGAUAUCAGUUGUUAUUAUUUGUUUUAUUGACCUCCUUUCAGCACAAUUUCUUGAAUUUUUUAAUGAAAAACUAACUUUAGGUGAUAACACAAUGCAUUUGGCUAAGCAUUUAAAUAGCUAUGGAGUUUGUUUGAACCAAAGUUCAGUUAAUUUUGUGGAUGGAAUUAUCCAGCCCAUUUUUGUAUUUAGAGGAUUUAUCAAUGUUCCAUUAUUGUUUCUGCUUAAGCAUCGUUUGAAAUAAUAUUCUUGAUUGAAGCUAAUGCAAGCAAAAUGAUGAUUUCACAGGGAAUUCACUUCAUGUUAUCAUGUACAUCUUAAAAUAUUUUUUUCAUUUUUCUCUUUAUGAUGGGAAUCUGCUCUUGAUCAUAACUAUCACAUUGUUUUGGUCCCACCUUUGCGGUAUUAAGAGGUUGCCUGGGUUGCAGUGUUGCAAUCAUUAAUGUGCUUUGUAAUGUGGUUUUAUAUAUGGUGAUUCUGGUGCUUGCUAUUUUCAUUAGUCAAUGCAAUGGUAAAAAGUCUUGAGUUUGUAUCUCUAUUUUUGAAUUCUACCUUAAAGAAAUUAUAAUGGGGUAAUUGCCCUUUUGGUGUAAUUUAAUCAUGGCAUUUAUUGUCUCGGUCAAUAAUGCAUGAUGUCUGUAAUAUGUGUUUUGUUUCAAAUACUGUUAUUCCACUUGAGUACAGCAUCUUAUUUUUACCAGUUUGUCUGCUGUUUCUUACCCAUUUUGCAAGUGUGAGAUGUUUACCAGUUAUGGGAGGAUGCAAGGCCAACUUGUCCUGUUUGAUUUGCCAAAAUCCCAUAAAUAACUUAAUAAUUUAAGAUCAAAAUGCAUGCCUUUAAUUGCUUCUAUAUUGGGUUGUGUGAUGUCACGAUGACUCAAUAUUAGGUUUUACAAAUGAAGAUGAUGGAACUGGAAAUGAAAAGCAAAUCCCUGUUGGCCCUCGGUUAUCUAGUAAACAUGGUGCUGGUAUACUCAAGAAAGAGUUUAAUGGUGAGGCCCAAAAGGAAUCAGAACCAGCUGAUAUGCCAGAUUUUGUAUUAAAAUUCAAAUCAGUUUAUAGGUGUCGGAUUUGCCCCCGAAUUGUCUGUUUGACAGAACAGACUAUGAUGACUCACCUCAAUUCUAAGAGACAUGCACGAUCUGCGAAGCUACUGAAGGAAAAUAGGUUGAAGGCCAUGCUCAACAGUGAUGGGGAAAUAGAGAACCAGGAAACCCCAACAGAGAUGCAUAAUCGAAUUGUCGCUCUUGCAGAGAAUAAGUCAAAAAAGAAGAAUAAAGGGCGCCAACGACAAAAGAAGCGGUCAAGAACGAAGAAAGGGAGAGAGAUCUUAAAUAUGGAGAAAACGAGGGGUUCAACAAAAGCACCAGCCAAGAAAAGGCAUAAAAGUGAGAACUGAAGAAUGCUAUAUUCCAGUUUACUGUACUGUGAGGAGUGGAAGGAAAAAUCAAAAGUAAUUGCUCAGUAGUUUCUGCAAAGUAACUAUGAUGGGGGCAUCAAGUGUGGUUUUUGAAGUGGCCGCUCUCUUUUUCUAUUUUUCUGUUAAAAUUUCUUACCUGCAGGAAAUUUUGGUUUGUAGGACAUGUAUUUGUGGCAAGCUUUCAGUUUUUCAAGAGCACUGACUGUAUUUUUGCUCAACUAAUUAUGGGUUGAUCCAGAGAAUUAAUUGCAUUUCUUCUAAUUUACAUCAGUUAUGUUAAACAUUUCUGAGUAAAGAAUCCUUCCUUUCUUCUGAUUUGCAAGAAUAAAGCCCAAAGAAUUGAGAUUGAGUUAGAGCCCAUUCUUCACCCUCUGAAAUGCCUUUCCAAAUAAUUGUUAUCGGGCGG